This 79-nucleotide microRNA precursor is filed under the name Medicago truncatula (barrel medic). RNAcentral describes it as "MIR5269 microRNA precursor family". It matches the Rfam family "MIR5269 microRNA precursor family". The record is from Rfam by way of RNAcentral. Lineage: Eukaryota; Viridiplantae; Streptophyta; Magnoliopsida; Fabales; Fabaceae.
UUGGUUUAAAUCAUUGUGAAUCUACACGUUGGAAAUUGAACAUACACAAAGGGGUGGAACAUACAUUGAUUUCAUCUAA